RNAcentral lists this ribosomal RNA (468 nucleotides) under uncultured bacterium. RNAcentral's name for it is "partial 16S ribosomal RNA". It matches the Rfam family "Bacterial small subunit ribosomal RNA", at positions 38 to 507 of the family's 1533-position model. The record is from RNAcentral.
GAAGAAAGAGGGGGGCGUGCUUAACACAUGCAAGUCGAACGGAAAGGCCCUGCUUUUGUGGGGUGCUCGAGUGGCGAACGGGUGAGUAACACGUGAGUAACCUGCCCUUGACUUUGGGAUAACUUCAGGAAACUGGGGCUAAUACCGGAUAGGAGCUCCUGCUGCAUGGUGGGGGUUGGAAAGUUUCGGCGGUUGGGGAUGGACUCGCGGCUUAUCAGCUUGUUGGUGGGGUAGUGGCUUACCAAGGCUUUGACGGGUAGCCGGCCUGAGAGGGUGACCGGCCCCAUUGGGACUGAGAUACGGCCCAGACUCCUACGGGAGGCAGCAGUGGGGAAUAUUGCACAAUGGGCGGAAGCCUGAUGCAGCAACGCCGCGUGCGGGAUGACGGCCUUCGGGUUGUAAACCGCUUUCGCCUGUGACGAAGCGUGAGUGACGGUAAUGGGUAAAGAAGCACCGGCUAACUACGUG